UUGAUGAAAGAUGAGCGGCGGACGGGUGAGUAACGCGUGGGUAACCUGCCCUAUACACAUGGAUAACAUACUGAAAAGUUUACUAAUACAUGAUAAUAUAUAUUUACGGCAUCGUAGAUAUAUCAAAGUGUUAGCGGUAUAGGAUGGACCCGCGUCUGAUUAGCUAGUUGGUGAGAUAACUGCCCACCAAGGCGACGAUCAGUAGCCGACCUGAGAGGGUGAUCGGCCACAUUGGAACUGAGACACGGUCCAAACUCCUACGGGAGGCAGCAGUGGGGAAUAUUGCACAAUGGGCGCAAGCCUGAUGCAGCAACGCCGCGUGAACGAUGAAGGUCUUCGGAUCGUAAAGUUCUGUUGCAGGGGAAGAUAAUGACGGUACCCUGUGAGGAAGCCCCGGCUAACUACGUGCCAGCAGCCGCGGUAAUACGUAGGGGGCUAGCGUUAUCCGGAUUUACUGGGCGUAAAGGGUGCGUAGGUGGUCUUUCAAGUCGGUGGUUAAAGGCUACGGCUCAACCGUAGUUAGCCUCCGAAACUGGAAGACUUGAGUGCAGGAGAGGAAAGUGGAAUUCCCAGUGUAGCGGUGAAAUGCGUAGAUAUUGGGAGGAACACCAGUAGCGAAGGCGGCUUUCUGGACUGCAACUGACACUGAGGCACGAAAGCGUGGGUAGCAAACAGGAUUAGAUACCCUGGUAGUCCACGCUGUAAACGAUGAGUACUAGGUGUCGGGGGUUACCCCCCUCGGUGCCGCAGCUAACGCAUUAAGUACUCCGCCUGGGGAGUACGCACGCAAGU
This 792-nucleotide ribosomal RNA is filed under the name uncultured Clostridia bacterium. Its description in RNAcentral is "bacterial SSU rRNA". It matches the Rfam family "Bacterial small subunit ribosomal RNA", at positions 81 to 893 of the family's 1533-position model. Lineage: Bacteria; Bacillati; Bacillota; Clostridia. The record is from RNAcentral.